UACGUAGGGUCCGAGCGUUGUCCGGAUUUAUUGGGCGUAAAGAGCUCGUAGGCGGUUCCGUAAGUCAGAUGUGAAAACUCAGGGCUCAACCCGGAGACGCCAUCUGAUACUGCGGUGACUGGAGUCUGGUAGGGGAACACGGAAUUCCUGGUGUAGCGGUGAAAUGCGCAGAUAUCAGGAGGAACACCGAUGGCGAAGGCAGUGUUCUGGGCCAGUACUGACGCUGAGGAGCGAAAGCGUGGGGAGCAAACAGGAUUAGAUACCCUGGUAGUCCACGCCGUAAACGUUGGGCACUAGGUGUGGGUCCUCAUCAACGGGAUCCGUGCCGUAGCUAACGCAUUAAGUGCCCCGCCUGGGGAGUACGGCCGCAAGGCUAAA
Molecule: ribosomal RNA, 378 nt
Filed under: uncultured bacterium
Lineage: Bacteria
Description: bacterial SSU rRNA
Rfam family: Bacterial small subunit ribosomal RNA
Source: RNAcentral